This 1239-nucleotide ribosomal RNA is filed under the name Anaerolineales bacterium. RNAcentral's name for it is "partial 23S ribosomal RNA". It matches the Rfam family "Bacterial large subunit ribosomal RNA", at positions 803 to 2009 of the family's 2925-position model. The record is from RNAcentral. Lineage: Bacteria; Bacillati; Chloroflexota; Anaerolineae; Anaerolineales.
GAUGAACUGUGGUAAGAAGUGAAAAGCUAAUCGAGCCUGGGAAUAGCUGGUUCUCUCCGAAAUAGCUUUUGGGCUAGCCUCAAGUGUUUUUUAUUGGAGGUAGAGCACUGGUUGGUCUGUAUUGGCGCAAGCCAGGCAGACCAGUCAAACUCCGAAUUCCAUUAAAAUAAUUUGGGAGUCAGACUGUGGGGGCAAAGCUCCAUAGUCAAAAGAGCAAGAACUCGGACCAUUAUCUAAGGUCCCUAAAUUUUGGCUAAGUGUAGAAGGAGGUGAUGCGUCGAAGACAAAUAGGAGGUUGGCUUAGAGGUAGCCAUCCUUUAAAGAGUGUGUAACAACUCACUAUUAUAUCUCCGCAAGGGGAUUGACGCGUUGCGCCGAAGAUAUAACGGGACUAAGCCAAAUACCGAAGAUAUGGGUGCGGUUUUGUUUCGACAAAACCGCGCGGUAGGAGAGCGUUUUUAGCGCAGCGAAGAUUGACCCGCGAGGGCGAUUGGAGCGCUAAGAAGUGCAAAUGUUGGCAUGAGUAACCUGCAAGACCGGUGAAAAACCGGUCCGCCGAAAGCCUGAGGUUUCCUUGGCAAUGAAAAUCAGCCAAGGGUUAGGCGGUCCUAAGGCAAUGGAGAAAUCCGCAGCUGAUGGACAGACGGUUAAUAUUCCGUCCCUACCUUAAGCGCUUUUACGGAGUGACGAAGUUCAGUAUGCUGAGCGUCUUAUUGGAUUGACGUUCUUGGCGUAAGGAUUUUCGGGAGGCAAAUCCCCCGAAAUGCGUUUAAUCGCGAAUCCAAGCGUUGAGAAAAUUUUCCCGUUCGCGGGGAGAAAUUUGGCAAAGCGAGCUUCCAAGAAAAACUUCGUAAAUUAGCUUAAGGUAUCCGUACCGAAAACCGACACAGGUAGGCAGGGCGAGUAGCCCACGGCGAACGAGUGAUUCGUGGUUAAGGAACUCGGCAAAAAAGCGGCUGUAAGUUAGCGAUAUAGCCUGCCCCGCUUUGCGGGGCCGCAGCUAAAGAUUCCCUGGCGACUGUUUAUCAAAAACACAGCUCCCUGCUAACUCGCAAGAGGAUGUAUAGGGGGUGAUGCCUGACCGAUGCGAGAAGGUUAACGGCGGAGGUGGUAUUUCUAGCAAUAGAGGUACUGCUGAUGCCCGAAGCCCUCGUCAAUGUCAGCGAUAACUAUAAUCGUUCUAAGGUAGCGUAAUUCCUUGUCUGGUAAGUUCAGACGUGCACGAAAGGCCUAACGACU